UAUCAAGUAAUUCAAAGGGGUUAUUAAGGAAAACUAAGGCAAAUUUAUAACAAAAGGAGGUCUAAAACCAAAAGUUUACUAACAAUAAAGUAUUAAGUAAGCGGUCCUAAGGUAAACCUUAUUAAUCAAUUACUUCCUGAAGUAAAACAUUUUAUUAGGGAAAGGAAAGGAAAUCAACCGAGACUCCGAAAGUAAUGGUGAGUGAAAUCGGAUUAGCCUAAUUAAAUAAUAAAUUGAAAAACUUAAGUAUUUUAGCAACGAAGGAAGAAAUCACUCUCUCUCCUUCUGGCCGCCUAUGGUGGAAUGCCAAAAUAUAUUAGUUAGUAAUAUUUUAAUAAAAACAAGUAGUGUAUAACAUUAUAUAGUUCUAUCAAAGUGUUACUCUAAAGAAGGUGACAAACUAUAAGACCUGUAGGUUUAUUAUUUAAUAUCAAAAAAGAGAAUUGAAUAUUUAGCCCUCGCACCCCCACUUCUCCUUCAUCUCUAGCAUUGCAAGCCUAUCUAUAUCUAUAAACACAAGAACACAAAAUAAAAAGAAAAAGGACGCAAAGGCUGGGGAAAAGCACAAAGGUCAGUGGUCGGGGGAAAAGGGGGGCCAAAUCUCAAAUCUCUAAAUAAAGUACGAUGAGAGAAAACUUGUCGGAAUAUAGGGGUACCAUCCUCUAAGGCUAAGUAUUAUAAAUUUAGCGAUAGUGAAUAAGUACUGUAAAGGAAAAGUUUGAAAAGCGAGUGGUAUACAAAAAAAGGAGUUUUUAAAAUAGUAAAAAUAUCCCUUAUAACUCUAGGUUAGCCUCCAAACCUUCAAAUAAAAAAUAAGAACAAACAAAGAAAAGGGACAGGAAAAAAGGUCAAGGAAAGGGUCCCAGUCAAAGGUCCUGAUAGCCUCAGAAAAAAGGGAAAUCUCUACGAUUAAAAAUGAAUUGGUGAAAUAGAUCUUGAAUUAGUAACUCUAUAAGCAGUCGAAAUUCUACUUUAUAAAAAGAAUCAUGAAUGACGGCGUACCUUUUGCAUAAGUUAAUAGGAGUAGCAAGGUUUAAAGCCCUAGCGAAAGCGACUGGACUAUAACUGAUAAAAUACAAGGAAAAAUAAAUUUCUUUUUGUGUUUGUAUAAGUACACAUAGUGAUGGGUCAGUUACUUCUAUUAGACCCGAAGCCAGGUGAUCUUACCAAGACCAGAUUAUAAUGGAUCGAACGGGUGAAUGUUGCAUAAUUCUCCGAUGAGUUUUGGUAAGCGGUGAAAUGCCAAUCUGACCUGGUGCUAGCUGGUUUUCUACCGAAACAUAUUUAAGUAUGACGUCUACACAAAAUUUAUGGAGGUACAGCAAGGCAAUUCCCAACAAGUUUAAGGGUUGUGUAUCCAUUCCUUCCUUUUUCUCAGUUUGAGUUAAAGCUAGGGCAGGUAACACAUCAGCCUUAUAGGCGUUUAGGUUGCGGGGACCUCGAAAAUCUUACCUUUGGAAGCGAAUCUCGGAAUUACAUAAAUUGAUGGUAGAUAUUCAGACUACUCAUGCUAAGUUGGGUAGUCAAGACGGAAACAGCCGAGAACACUGAUCAAGGUCCCAAAUGAUUGUUAAGUGAAAUUAAGGACGUAGCAAUAUCGUAUACAGCUGUGAAGUGAGCCUGGUAGUCGCUACUUUUAAUGAUCGUAUGUAACAACGCAUCAGCAGUCUAGAUAGUAGCGCCGAAAAUUUAACGGGUCUUAAACAAUCAACCGAUAUCGUGUUGGUUUAUAUUAUUAAUGAUAUAAUUAUUUAUAGACAUUUCUAAUACUAAAUCUAGGUAGUAGAACAUUCAGUCAAACUCAUUAUAAAAUAGUGUUUCAUUAUUUAUUAGGUUACUGAAGAGAGAAUGCUGACAUGAGUAACGUAAAAAGAAGUUAUAAUACUUCUCGCCGAAUACGAAAGGGUUGCAAAUAGGAAAGGUUAAUCCGUUUUGUUUGAAUGCGGCCUCUAAGGACCAAAACCAAAGUUUUGGCUGAUGAGUAUAUAAUAGAAAGUCCAUUUUUUUAGUGGACCAGGAAAUGAAUAUUAUUAGUAAUAACGUCGACUCAUCCUAUCCUCCGGGGGAAGAAGCUUGGAAGGGUUCGGCUGUUCGCCGAUUAAAAGGGUACGUGAGUUGGGUUAAAGAGUCAGUAUGGUCCCUAUCUUCUGGAGGGAUAAUUAGUAAAAAGGGGCAGACCUUCUAGUACGAAAGGAUCAAUAGGCUGUGUUUCUCUAGUGUACCAAUUGUUGGUACUAUUUUGUUUAAGACCCCUAUCUUUAUCUUUAAAAAUAAGUGGGUAAAAUCCUUUUGGACUUUAAGCUAAAAGUUCUUUAAUUUAAUACCUUUAAGCAAGGUUAGAAUAAAAGGUCACAAAAUAGGAACGCAUAGUUGGGUAGCCACAAACAUAAUAGAUAAGUGCUGAAUGUCUAUAAAGCAAGAAUCUAACCCCUAGAUACUUUAAAAAUGAUGAUUUAUUUUAAUUACAAGGGUCAGUAGUGCUUUGCAGAAGCAGCUUAUUUGAGUCCUUCCGAAGUAGGCCUUGUAUAAUUGAGAUGUAAUAUCAUUAAUUAAGAAAUAGAACAUUUCUAGAUAGGCUGCAAAUGUAACAUAUUGUAAAAUAUUUAGUUUAGCAGUACUAAUUUAUAAAGAAACUAGAAGCCA
This 2643-nucleotide ribosomal RNA is filed under the name Blastosporella zonata. RNAcentral's name for it is "23S ribosomal RNA". It matches the Rfam family "Bacterial large subunit ribosomal RNA". The record is from RNAcentral. Lineage: Eukaryota; Fungi; Basidiomycota; Agaricomycetes; Agaricales; Lyophyllaceae.